CUGCAAGAGUCACCACAUUUGCAGGAGGAGCCACAUCCACAGUUAGAAUCUGCCAUUUCUCUUACUUCUCUUUGAUUGAUUAACUAUUGUAGUUUCUUCUUCUUCUUAUGAUGCUUUUGU
Molecule: small RNA, 120 nt
Filed under: Arabidopsis thaliana (thale cress)
Lineage: Eukaryota; Viridiplantae; Streptophyta; Magnoliopsida; Brassicales; Brassicaceae
Description: ATSL004740
Source: RNAcentral